CCAUUUUUUCGAAAUUAGACC
This 21-nucleotide microRNA is filed under the name Solanum tuberosum (potato). RNAcentral's name for it is "stu-miR8047". Lineage: Eukaryota; Viridiplantae; Streptophyta; Magnoliopsida; Solanales; Solanaceae. The record is from miRBase by way of RNAcentral.